GCAUCGGUGGUCUAGUGGUAGAAUACUCGCCUGCCACGCGGGUGACCCGGGUUCGAUUCCCGGUCGAUGCA
Molecule: transfer RNA, 71 nt
Organism: Lottia gigantea (owl limpet)
Lineage: Eukaryota; Metazoa; Mollusca; Gastropoda; Lottiidae
Rfam family: tRNA
About the family: Transfer RNA (tRNA) molecules are approximately 80 nucleotides in length. Their secondary structure includes four short double-helical elements and three loops (D, anti-codon, and T loops). Further hydrogen bonds mediate the characteristic L-shaped molecular structure. tRNAs have two regions of fundamental functional importance: the anti-codon, which is responsible for specific mRNA codon recognition, and the 3' end, to which the tRNAs corresponding amino acid is attached (by aminoacyl-tRNA synthetases). tRNAs cope with the degeneracy of the genetic code in two manners: having more than one tRNA (with a specific anti-codon) for a particular amino acid; and 'wobble' base-pairing, i.e. permitting non-standard base-pairing at the 3rd anti-codon position.
Source: Rfam